This 89-nucleotide transfer RNA is filed under the name Streptosporangiales bacterium. Its description in RNAcentral is "tRNA-Ser". It matches the Rfam family "tRNA". From Rfam's summary of the family: Transfer RNA (tRNA) molecules are approximately 80 nucleotides in length. Their secondary structure includes four short double-helical elements and three loops (D, anti-codon, and T loops). The record is from RNAcentral. Lineage: Bacteria; Bacillati; Actinomycetota; Actinomycetes; Streptosporangiales.
GGAGGGCUCGCAUAGUGGCCGAGUGCGACGGUCUUGAAAACCGUUGAGGCGCGGGAGCGUCUCCGUGGGUUCAAAUCCCACGCCCUCCG